Molecule: ribosomal RNA, 500 nt
Filed under: uncultured bacterium
Lineage: Bacteria
Description: partial 16S ribosomal RNA
Rfam family: Bacterial small subunit ribosomal RNA
Source: RNAcentral
AUUGAACGCUGGCGGAAUGCUUUACACAUGCAAGUCGAACGGCAGCACGGACUCCGGUCUGGUGGCGAGUGGCGAACGGGUGAGUAAUGUAUCGGAACGUGCCCAGUCGUGGGGGAUAACGUAGUGAAAAUUACGCUAAUACCGCAUACGAUCUAUGGAUGAAAGCGGGGGAUCGCAAGACCUCGCGCGAUUGGAGCGGCCGACAUCAGAUUAGGUAGUUGGUGAGGUAAAGGCUCACCAAGCCGAUGAUCUGUAGCUGGUCUGAGAGGACGACCAGCCACACUGGGACUGAGACACGGCCCAGACUCCUACGGGAGGCAGCAGUGGGGAAUUUUGGACAAUGGGCGCAAGCCUGAUCCAGCAAUGCCGCGUGCAGGAUGAAGGCCUUCGGGUUGUAAACUGCUUUUGUACGGAACGAAACGGCGAGCUCUAAUACAGUUUGCUAAUGACGGUACCGUAAGAAUAAGCACCGGCUAACUACGUGCCAGCAGCCGCGGUAA